Molecule: ribosomal RNA, 305 nt
Filed under: uncultured bacterium
Lineage: Bacteria
Description: bacterial SSU rRNA
Rfam family: Bacterial small subunit ribosomal RNA
Source: RNAcentral
GUGAGCCUACGGGAGGCAGCAGUGAGGAAUAUUGGUCAAUGGGCGGGAGCCUGAACCAGCCAAGUCGCGUGAGGGAAGACGGUCCUAUGGAUUGUAAAGCUCUGUUAGCAGGGAAGAGGAAGGACGGUACCUGCAGAGGAAGCCACGGCUAACUACGUGCCAGCAGCCGCGGUAAUACGUAGGUGGCAAGCGUUGUUCGGAAUAACUGGGCGUAAAGGAUGCGUAGGCGGUUAAACAAGUUAUAUGUUAAAUAUAUAGGCUUAACCUGUAGAAAGCAUAUAAAACUGUUUAACUAGAGUGCAGGA